AUUGUCUGACCAAGUAAGUAACCCUCCAGACAAAUAAACCAGAGUUGUCCUUCCUCCUGCCUUACCCCCACCUACAGCUUCACCUGCCCGAGCUAACCAACCUUGUCAGCAUUAUGGUCGCUUGCAUGGUGACCUACCAUGUCGACAUAUCUAUAAUGCCUGUUAUUAAUGCGGAAGCACCAAACACCUCAUAAAAGACUGCCCCCAAUGACCAAAGGAUGUAGCCCGAUCUGUAGCACAAGGUCGAGUGUACCCCACCUAAAUGAAUCUGGUGUCUUUCCUGCUCCUGUCCUCAUCUAGGGUAUGUUUUCUAUUCAUAGUACUUCUGUCAAGGUUUUGAUCGAUAUAGGUGCAACUAACUCUUUUAUUUUCUAUGCAUUUGCUUGUAAUAUAGAGUUUAGACUAG
Molecule: long non-coding RNA, 406 nt
Filed under: Carica papaya (papaya)
Lineage: Eukaryota; Viridiplantae; Streptophyta; Magnoliopsida; Brassicales; Caricaceae
Description: long non-coding RNA (CPAP_LNC005320)
Source: RNAcentral